UCGGAUCAGGGUUAGUCGGGUCCUAAGGCUCAGCCGAACGGUGAGGCCGAUGGCAGAACAGGUUAAUAUUCCUGUACUACCUUAAGGAGUGACGUGGAGACGGAGUCGUGACAACGCCGCGGACUGACGGAAUAGUCCGUUGAAGGGUGUAGAUGUUGAUUGUGGCAGGCAAAUCCACCACGAGAGUCGAACCUGAUAGUAUACCAAUUCCUUCGGGAAACGGUAAUAGUGCGUGUAAACAUACUCCCGAGAAAAUCCGCUAAACUUAAUCCUUGAGGUACCCGUACCGCAAACGGACACACGUAGUCGGGUUGAAUAUACUAAGGCGCUUGAGUGAUUCACGGUUAAGGAACUAGGCAAAUUGACCCUGUAACUUCGGGAUAAAGGGUCCCAACGAGAGUUGGGCGCAGAGAAUAGGUCCAGGCAACUGUUUAACAAAAACACAGGGCUGUGCCAAAUUGAAAGAUCACGUAUACAGCCUGACACCUGCCCGGUGCUGGAAGGUUAAGAGGAGAUGUCAUCGCAAGAGAAGCAUUGAAUUGAAGCCCCAGUAAACGGCGGCCGUAACAAUAACGGUCCUAAGGUAGCGAAAUUCCUUGUCGGGUAAGUUCCGACCUGCACGAAUGGUGUAAUGAUCUGGACACUGUCUCAACCGUGAGCUCAGUGAAAUUGUAGUAUCGGUGAAGAUGCCGAUUACCCGCGAUGGGACGAAAAGACCCCGUGAACCUUUACUAUAGCUUAACAUUGAAUUUGGGUAAUUGAUGUGUAGGAUAGGCCGGAGACUUUGAAGCGCAGACGCCAGUUUGUGUGGAGUCGCUGUUGAAAUACGGCCCUUUGAUUAUUUGAGUUCUAACCCGUUGUAACGGGGACACUGUUUGGUGGGUAGUUUGACUGGGGUGGUCGCCUCCAAAAGUGUAACGGAGGCUUCUAAAGGUGCCCUCAGGACGAUUGGUAACCGUCCGUAGAGUGUAAUGGCAUAAGGGCGCUUGACUGGGAGACAUACAAGUCGAUCAGGUAGGAAACUAGAGCAUAGUGAUCCGGUGUUUCCGCAUGGAAGGGACAUCGCUCAAAGGAUAAAAGGUACUCCGGGGAUAACAGGCUGAUCCCUCCCAAGAGCUCAUAUCGACGGAGGGGUUUGGCACCUCGAUGUCGGCUCGUCACAUCCUGGGGCUGGAGAAGGUCCCAAGGGUUGGGCUGUUCGCCCAUUAAAGUGGCACGCGAGCUGGGUUCAGAACGUCGUGAGACAGUUCGGUCUCUAUCUAUCGUGGGCGUAUGAAAUUUGCGUGGCUCUGACACUAGUACGAGAGGACCGUGUUGGACUGACCUCUGGUUUACCAGUUGUGCCGCCAGGUGCAUUGCUGGGUAUCUAAGUCGGGAUUGGAUAAGUGCUGAAAGCAUCUAAGUACGAAGCCAGCCACAAGAUUAGAUUUCUUAGGGUCGUCAAAGACGAUGACGUUGAUAGGAUGCAGGUGUACAGGUGGUAACAUCAUAGCCGAGCAUUACUAAUUGCUC
This 1512-nucleotide ribosomal RNA is filed under the name metagenome. RNAcentral's name for it is "bacterial LSU rRNA". It matches the Rfam family "Bacterial large subunit ribosomal RNA", at positions 1369 to 2911 of the family's 2925-position model. The record is from RNAcentral.